CUUUAAAGUCUGACAACAUCUUGAGAAUAAGCAGUUUUCUCUAAUCAAAAUGAAUUCAAAAUUAUUCUGAGCAUGUGCAAAUGCAGUAUUUUAGAAACACAUUUCUGCUGGACACUGGGACCACACUCCAAAAACUGGCAUGGAAUAAUAUAAGAUUGAGUGGACUGAUGAGACGCUUCUUGGUGCAGGGGAGCAACAUAAUUCUACCUAACAGGUUCAACAGUUACGACAUGCAGGUCUGUGAUAAGAGACUUAAACAAGAUACCCUAAAAAAACAGCUAGAGGAAGUUCUUGAGAUGGAAAGGAAAUGAUAAAGGAAGGAAUUUUAAACCAUCAAAAAGGAUGAAAUCACAAAGUGAAAAUCCAGGUUUAUUUGCUAGGAGGGCUCACAGGACUCUCAUGCAUUAAUAAUCAUAGCUUUGAUGUAUUAUGAUGAAAGAUACAAAGCGAAAUCAGCAAAAGGAAAAGAUACAUGGGACAAAAUCCAGAGGAAACCAGACAUUGGACAACAAGAUAUGCGGGGUUGUGAUACCUGAGGAAAUGAGAAACAAUCUGAGUCCUGUGGUUGCUUUAGCUUACUGUCUGAAGUUGGCUUUUAGGCCACAGCACAAAAAUGAGGUUAUGCAACACUGGACAAUUAAAAAUGUUCCAUGCCUCACUUUCCCUACUGGUAUAAGAGCUCAUUAUUAUCCUAAUAGAACAAGUUGUGAAGACUGGCAUUGAAAUUCUCCAGGUGAACCCCUGAAGUGAUGGGAAGCAGAGUGACUUACAUUUCGCCUUUCUCCUCACAGGAUAUCUCUGAGUAACGUUUCCGCAGGCAUUUAUUGAAACUCUACAAUGUGGCAACAACUUGCUAGACCACCAAGUACAAAGAUGAAUGAGCUUGACACCUACCAUUAAAGAAAAUGAAAAUUAUAG
Molecule: long non-coding RNA, 918 nt
Organism: Canis lupus familiaris (dog)
Lineage: Eukaryota; Metazoa; Chordata; Mammalia; Carnivora; Canidae
Exons: 8
Source: RefSeq, a predicted model, not a curated record